RNAcentral lists this transfer RNA (75 nucleotides) under Planctomycetota bacterium. Its description in RNAcentral is "tRNA-Glu". It matches the Rfam family "tRNA". From Rfam's summary of the family: Transfer RNA (tRNA) molecules are approximately 80 nucleotides in length. Their secondary structure includes four short double-helical elements and three loops (D, anti-codon, and T loops). The record is from RNAcentral. Lineage: Bacteria; Pseudomonadati; Planctomycetota.
GGCCCCAUCAUCUAGCGGUUAGGAUACCGCCCUUUCAAGGCGGCGACGCGGGUUCGAAUCCCGCUGGGGUCACCA